RNAcentral lists this ribosomal RNA (460 nucleotides) under uncultured bacterium. Its description in RNAcentral is "partial 16S ribosomal RNA". It matches the Rfam family "Bacterial small subunit ribosomal RNA", at positions 338 to 795 of the family's 1533-position model. The record is from RNAcentral.
CCUACGGGAGGCAGCAGUGAGGAAUAUUGGUCAAUGGACGAGAGUCUGAACCAGCCAAGUAGCGUGAAGGAUGACUGCCCUAUGGGUUGUAAACUUCUUUUAUAUGGGAAUAAAAUGUUCCACGUGUGGGAUUUUGUAUGUACCAUAUGAAUAAGGAUCGGCUAACUCCGUGCCAGCAGCCGCGGUCAUACGGCGGAUCCGAGCGUUAUCCGGAUUUAUUGGGUUUAAAGGGAGCGUAGGUGGAUUGUUAAGUCAGUUGUGAAAGUUUGCGGCUCAACCGUAAAAUUGCAGUUGAAACUGGCAGUCUUGAGUACAGUAGAGGUGGGCGGAAUUCGUGGUGUAGCGGUGAAAUGCUUAGAUAUCACGAAGAACUCCGAUUGCGAAGGCAGUUCACUGGACUGCAACUGACACUGAGGCUCGAAAGUGUGGGUAUCAAACAGGAUUAGAUACCCUAGUAGUC